AGCCACGCGAGUCGAACGCUUCCCUGUUGCGGGAGGCGUGGCGUACGGCUCAGUAACACGUAGUCAACCUGCCCUGGAGACAAGUAUAACCCCGGGAAACUGGGAUUAAUCCUUGAUAGGUCAUCUCAUCUGGAAGGAGAGAUGGCUUAAAGGGGUGCGAGAGCUUCUUUCUUGUACCCGCUCCAGGAUGGGACUGCGGCCGAUCAGGCUGUUGGUGGGGUAAUGGCCCACCAAACCUGUAACCGGUACGGGCCUUGAGAGAGGGGGCCCGGAGAUGGACACUGAGAGAAGGGUCCAGGUCCUACGGGGCGCAGCAGGCGCGAAACCUUCACAAUGCGCGAAAGCGUGAUGAGGUGAAUCCCGAUUGGUCCCCGCGUGAGGGGAUCUUUUGUCGGGUGUGAAAAGGCGGGUUGAAUAAGGGGAGGGGAAGUUUGGGUGUUCCCCGGCGGGGGUUA
This 455-nucleotide ribosomal RNA is filed under the name uncultured archaeon. Its description in RNAcentral is "bacterial SSU rRNA". It matches the Rfam family "Archaeal small subunit ribosomal RNA", at positions 47 to 473 of the family's 1478-position model. The record is from RNAcentral.